This 654-nucleotide ribosomal RNA is filed under the name Triticum aestivum (bread wheat). Its description in RNAcentral is "partial small subunit ribosomal RNA". Lineage: Eukaryota; Viridiplantae; Streptophyta; Magnoliopsida; Poales; Poaceae. The record is from RNAcentral.
AUGAUUGUUACUUUAUGGGCGAUUUGGAGUGCAAGACGGAAAGCUAUACAUGAGGAUAUAUACCAGACUCCGUUUGCCACUGACAACUUCAUCAAAGCUUACUUAUCAGACAUAGAGUUUUUGAAGAAGAAGAAGGAGGAAGCACAUGGGAUAACAGUACCACGACCCCGUACGUGGAUUCCACCACCAACAGAUUACUACAAACUCAAUGUGGACGCGGCCGUGUCACGUCCAGGUACGUUUGGCGCAGUUGGUGUGGUUUGCAGGGAUGAGAGAAGUUUGUUCAUGGGAGCGUCAGCUCUCGUUUUCAGAGGACUGCACAACCCCCAAGUGCUAGAAGCACUAGCUGUUCGGGAGGCAUUAGCACUUUCAGAAGAUCUCUAUAUCAACCAUUUACUUGUUGCCUCCGAUUGCAAGGUGGUGGUAGAUGCAAUCAGACAGGGAGGCUCAGCAGAAUUUGGAGCCAUUGUCGAGGAAAUCAAGACUAGAGCAACUACCUUUAUUUCAUGUUCGUUUACUCACGAGUAUAGGACCUCCAAUACGGAGGCCCAUAAUCUCGCAAAGCAUGCGUUAUCUUUAGGGUUUGGCCGACACACUUGGCUAGGACAACCCGGCGAUCUUCUUUUUGUACCUAUGAACAUUAUGAUUCAGUAA